Molecule: non-coding RNA, 754 nt
Organism: Poecilia reticulata (guppy)
Lineage: Eukaryota; Metazoa; Chordata; Actinopteri; Cyprinodontiformes; Poeciliidae
Source: RefSeq, a predicted model, not a curated record
UGAUAUUUUCAAACGUGACAUCAAGCUGUACGGCGAACGUCAUUGAUACGCGACAAACGUCAUUAUUCUGCGUCCUGAUAUAAGCGGGAAGAAAAACAACAUCCAUGGGGGACGAUGAUGAGGAUUAGAUGCCUCCGGUCGGAAGAUAACUUCAAAAUCCCGGUAAAACGCUGAGCACGCUCUCUACUGCGCAUGCGGGACACUUUCAGGUCGUUUGCAGUUCACACAGGAGAUCACGCACGUUUGAGACUCCCCAUCUGAAGCCUUGAGAUGCUUGUCAGGUGCUGCGAUGGUAGACGUGCAGCAGAUUGUGCUACAGCAGACUCCAGAUUUAAGUGCGCAGCUGUUGGUAGACCUCCAGGUCCCAGACUCCAAACGAGGCUGACCUAGCUGCUCAGCUUGGUCAUUUCUCCCAUGUCUCAUCUCAUGAGCGCCUGGAUAAGAAGGAGCCGUUCCCCGCAGCGAGGGUUUCGGGAGGAAGGGAGGGUGAAAUCUUGCAAUGACAUGGGAUCUGUCCUGGUUUUCGCUCUGCCCUAUUUGCUUUGGCUUCUACAGCUGUCGAUUGGUGCAGACAGAAAGAGGUGACCACAAUAAAUUAACUUGGUUUUAGCGGUUUUGUUCACUUUGAUUUGAGCAAACAAGAUAGUGUCUUAAUUUGAACAUUCUAGUCUGAUUAUUUGAUCUUUUUAACCAGAUUUUGUCUGUGUAUAUUCACUUUUGAGCUUUUAACUCCUUUAAGUGUUUUUUUUAUUGC